CUUCUCCGCGCUAAUACGUCAAACAUCGUAUUUUGACCUAAGAUACAUUUGUUUAAAAGAGCAUCGCCAUUGCACCGUUUGUCCGCCUUCUCUUCCUGUCCGUCUGCACUUGGCUGAGUGGGCACAGGUGUGGCAUCAUUCUGUGUGUCAGGAGCAUUUGCACUAAGAGCGGCCUUUAAGCUGGCAGCAAGACCACCGCUACUGCCUGUUGGACCUGUGGCGGCACCGGCAGGGGCACCACCGGCAGCACCGGCAGCGGGAUCGGAAGCUCCAGAAUCCCCAGGCUCGGAUGCACGAAGCCUCUUCAUGAGUGUGGUCACUCUGACAGCUUUCUGUGAGGACACACAUGGACACGCUGAACACAAUGGCAGGGGGUGCUGGAGCCUAUCCCAGCUGCACUCGGGCGGAAGGCGGGGUACACCCUGAAAAAGUCGGCACCUCAUCACAGGGCCCACACAGAUUGAUAGACAACAUUCACGCUCAGCAUGUACGUGUCUACAUACAUGUUGUGCGUUGUUUGCUGUGUGAUGUUGCCUCUUCCUAUUCGAUAUCAAGUUAACUUUAGUGUGGUGCUGGUUGUUGCUUUCAUUAGUAAAAUGUUACU
Nerophis lumbriciformis (worm pipefish) is the source of this 604-nucleotide long non-coding RNA. RefSeq lists it as uncharacterized. The record is from RefSeq and is a predicted model, not a curated record. NCBI's taxonomy places the organism in Eukaryota, Metazoa, Chordata, Actinopteri, Syngnathiformes, Syngnathidae.